This 464-nucleotide ribosomal RNA is filed under the name Podarcis siculus (Italian wall lizard). RNAcentral's name for it is "partial 12S ribosomal RNA". It matches the Rfam family "Bacterial small subunit ribosomal RNA", at positions 794 to 1482 of the family's 1533-position model. Lineage: Eukaryota; Metazoa; Chordata; Lepidosauria; Squamata; Lacertidae. The record is from RNAcentral.
GCUAAGCCCUGAACAUUGAAAGUUUACCUAUACUUUACUUUCCGCCAGAGAACUACGAGUGAAAAACUUAAAACUCAAAGGACUUGACGGUGUCCCAUAUCGGCCUAGAGGAGCCUGUCCUAUAAUCGAUACCCCCCGUUCCACCCAACCCCAACUAGCAAAACAUCAGCCUAUAUACCGCCGUCGACAGUCUACCCUAUGAAGGUCCAAUAGUAGACACAAUAGCCCUAACGCUAAUACGUCAGGUCAAGGUGUAGCAAAUGCUGGGGAAGAGAUUGGCUACAUUUUUUAUGAUAAAAAACACGAAUUGUACCAUGAAAAAGUACAUGAAGGUGAAUUUAGUAGUAAAACAGACAAGAGUGUCUGUUUUAACAACGCUCUGGGACGCGUACACACCGCCCGUCACCCUCCUCAACAAAACAAAACAACUUCCAUAAACAAAGAUUAAUUUAACUAGAGGAGGC